AAGGCACCAGCUCAGCAGGUAGAGCACCCGAUUCGGGAUCGGGAGGUCCGGGGUUCGACUCCACGGUGUCCGA
This 73-nucleotide transfer RNA is filed under the name Actinokineospora cianjurensis. RNAcentral describes it as "tRNA-Pro". It matches the Rfam family "tRNA". From Rfam's summary of the family: Transfer RNA (tRNA) molecules are approximately 80 nucleotides in length. Lineage: Bacteria; Bacillati; Actinomycetota; Actinomycetes; Pseudonocardiales; Pseudonocardiaceae. The record is from RNAcentral.